Small nuclear RNA from Lynx canadensis (Canada lynx), 102 nucleotides. The record is from Ensembl. Lineage: Eukaryota; Metazoa; Chordata; Mammalia; Carnivora; Felidae.
GUCCUCGCUUUGGCAGCACACGUACUAAAUUGAAACCACAUAAAGAUUAGACGGUCCCUGCUUAAGGAUGAUACACAAAGUCCUGAAGCAUUCCAUAUUUUA